RNAcentral lists this ribosomal RNA (894 nucleotides) under uncultured Acidobacteriota bacterium. RNAcentral describes it as "bacterial SSU rRNA". It matches the Rfam family "Bacterial small subunit ribosomal RNA", at positions 8 to 904 of the family's 1533-position model. The record is from RNAcentral. Lineage: Bacteria; Pseudomonadati; Acidobacteriota.
AGAGAUCAUGGCUCAGAAUGAACGCUGGCGGCGUGCUUUACACAUGCAAGUUGAGCGAGGCCGGUAGCAAUACCGAGUCGAGCGGCGAACGGGUGAGUAACGCGUGGAUAACCUGCCCUGAGGUGGGGAAUAACCCGGGGAAACUCGGGCUAAUACCGCAUGAUACCGAGAGGUCAAAGAGGGCUCGCAAGGGCUCUUGCCAUAGGAGGGGUCCGCGUUCGAUUAGCUAGUUGGUAGGGUAAUGGCCUACCAAGGCGACGAUCGAUAGCCGGCCUGAGAGGGUGAUCGGCCACACUGGAACUGAGACACGGUCCAGACUCCUACGGGAGGCAGCAGUGGGGAAUUUUGCGCAAUGGGCUAACGCCUGACGCAGCAACGCCGUGUGGAGGAUGAAGGUCUUUGGAUUGUAAACUCCUGUCAGCAGGGAAAAAGGGAUAGGACCUAAUACGUCCUAAACUUGAUUGUACCUGCAGAGGAAGCCCCGGCUAACUCUGUGCCAGCAGCCGCGGUAAUACAGAGGGGGCAAGCGUUAUUCGGAAUUAUUGGGCGUAAAGGGCGCGUAGGCGGCUUUUCAAGUGACGGGUGAAAUCCCUCGGCUUAACCGAGGAACUGCCUGUCAGACUGGAAGGCUUGAGACCGGGAGAGGUGAGUGGAAUUCCCAGUGUAGCGGUGAAAUGCGUAGAUAUUGGGAGGAACACCAGUGGCGAAGGCGGCUCACUGGACCGGUACUGACGCUGAGGCGCGAAAGCGUGGGGAGCAAACAGGAUUAGAUACCCUGGUAGUCCACGCCGUAAACGAUGAGUGCUUGGUGUAGCGGGUAUCGACCCCUGCUGUGCCGAAGUCAACACAUUAAGCACUCCGCCUGGGGAGUACGGUCGCAAGACUGAAACUCAA